Long non-coding RNA from Gadus macrocephalus (Pacific cod), 455 nucleotides. RefSeq lists it as uncharacterized. The record is from RefSeq and is a predicted model, not a curated record. The transcript is spliced from 2 exons. NCBI's taxonomy places the organism in Eukaryota, Metazoa, Chordata, Actinopteri, Gadiformes, Gadidae.
GUGUGUGUGUGUGUGUGUGUGUGUGUGUGUGUGUGUGUGUGUGUGUGUGUGUGUUUUGAGUAGUUCUACACCAGGAUCGAGGGGAAACUACCGGACUACAACAUUCGCAUCCAGCUUCCUGAGGAGCAGCAGCAGAACCUGUUCAAACGGUGAGACGAGAGUGAGGAAGACGAGGCUGACAUCAUCUCCCGGGAGGCGCUGAAGAGGCAGUCCCAGCUCAUCAUCGACGCCAAGACCAAGAAGAAGCCCAGGAAGAAGAAGAAGUGAACCUCCUGCUCCUAAACCCAGGACCUUAAAGUCCUGAAGGUCAAAAAGUCAGGACUGUAGUCUGAGUUUGAGUUUCCCACCAUGAAUAAAGAUGUAUUGUUAUUUUUGAUUAAUUUGCAUAUUCAGAAUAUUGUUGGUACUAUCCCUAUUGUAGAAGUAUUAAUAAAGUUAUACCAUGUUUACGUAUU